This 253-nucleotide ribosomal RNA is filed under the name uncultured bacterium. RNAcentral describes it as "partial 16S ribosomal RNA". It matches the Rfam family "Bacterial small subunit ribosomal RNA", at positions 524 to 776 of the family's 1533-position model. The record is from RNAcentral.
UACGUAGGGUGCAAGCGUUACUCGGAAUUACUGGGCGUAAAGCGUGCGCAGGCGGUUUCGUAAGUCUGUCGUGAAAUCCCCGGGCUUAACCUGGGAGUGGCGAUGGAGACUGCGAGGCUAGAGUUUGGCAGAGGGGGGUAGAAUUCCACGUGUAGCAGUGAAAUGCGUAGAGAUGUGGAGGAACACCGAUGGCGAAGGCAGCCCCCUGGGUCAAAACUGACGCUCAUGCACGAAAGCGUGGGGAGCAAACAGG